AUAUCUAUUUAAUCCUGGUUGUGGGAGGGUCAAGAGCAGGUUUACAUAAGAAGGUUUUGGUAGUUUGAUGUAGUUUGAGUAGUUGCGUUUUUCUUAGUAGUUAGAGCUUUAUGUUGAGGGUAACCUUGAUUGGGCUGUUCUUGAAUGGAGUGGUGGAUACUCAGUGCCAGCAUCCGCGGUUAUUCUGUUAGCUUCUUCUCCUGGCUGGUUGGUGUAAAGUAUUUGGAGCUAAGAUUUAGGUUUGAGUAUAAUCUUCCUUUUGUUGAUAUUAUGUUCUAGUUAUUUUAAUUCGUUUUUUAUAAAAGAGGAUUAGAUACCCUUGUAUAGGCGGUUUAAGUUUGCUUCCUUAGUAUAAACUAAAAGGAUUUGGCAGCUGAUGAGAUUCUGCCGGGGGAACGUGUAUCGUAAUAGAUAGUCCACUUAGUAGUUGACCUCUUUUAGUUUUGUUAGUGUAUAUCCGGUUUAAUAUUUGUGGUUAGUGCCAUUGAGUGUAAUUUUUAUUAUUUAAGCCAGGUCAAUGUGCUGCUAAUAUUGAGGGGUUUAUGCGUUACUUUGUUAAAAUUGUUGUUGUGUGAUUUGUGGCAGCUGUAUUUAGGACUCGGAAGUAGGUAGGGUGUUUGUUUAUGGUAGUUAGGUUUUCCUAUCGAAUGAGAUUUAGUUGGGGUACACACCGCCCGUCACCCAGGGUGUUAGCUGUGGUAAGUCGUAACAUGGUAAUGCUGGGGGAACCCGGUAUUAGUUGUCUUGUAAGUUUAUAUUAUGGGCUAUA
This 769-nucleotide ribosomal RNA is filed under the name Fasciola gigantica. Its description in RNAcentral is "12S ribosomal RNA". RNAcentral also lists the same sequence under 1 other name. Lineage: Eukaryota; Metazoa; Platyhelminthes; Trematoda; Plagiorchiida; Fasciolidae. The record is from RNAcentral.